Molecule: ribosomal RNA, 468 nt
Filed under: uncultured bacterium
Lineage: Bacteria
Description: partial 16S ribosomal RNA
Rfam family: Bacterial small subunit ribosomal RNA
Source: RNAcentral
GACGAACGCUGGCGGCGUGCUUAACACAUGCAAGUCGAACGGAAAGGCCCUGCUUUUGUGGGGUGCUCGAGUGGCGAACGGGUGAGUAACACGUGAGUAACCUGCCCUUUACUUUGGGAUAACUUCAGGAAACUGGGGCUAAUACCUGAUAGGAGCUCCUGCUGCAUGGUGUGGUUUGGAAAGUUUCGGCGGUUGGGGAUGGACUCGCGGCUUAUCAGCUUGUUGGUGGGGUAGUUGCUUACCAAGGCUUUGACGGGUAGCCGGCCUGAGAGGGUGACCGGCCACAUUGGGACUGAGAUACGGCCCAGACUCCUACGGGAGGCAGCAGUGGGGAAUAUUGCACAAUGGGCGGAAGCCUGAUGCAGCAACGCCGCGUGCGGGAUGACGGCCUUCGGGUUGUAAACCGCUUUCGCCUGUGACGAAGCGUGAGUGACGGUAAUGGGUAAAGAAGCACCGGCUAACUACGUG